CACGUAGGGUGCGAGCGUUGUCCGGAAUUAUUGGGCGUAAAGAGCUCGUAGGCGGUGUGUCGCGUCGGCCGUGAAAACUUGCAGCUUAACUGUGGGCGUGCGGUCGAUACGGGCAUCACUGGAGUUCGGCAGGGGAGACUGGAAUUCCUGGUGUAGCGGUGAAAUGCGCAGAUAUCAGGAGGAACACCGGUGGCGAAGGCGGGUCUCUGGGCAAUAACUGACGCUGAGGAGCGAAAGCGUGGGGAGCGAACAGG
Molecule: ribosomal RNA, 254 nt
Filed under: uncultured bacterium
Lineage: Bacteria
Description: partial 16S ribosomal RNA
Rfam family: Bacterial small subunit ribosomal RNA
Source: RNAcentral